Molecule: long non-coding RNA, 1611 nt
Filed under: Oryza sativa Indica Group (long-grained rice)
Lineage: Eukaryota; Viridiplantae; Streptophyta; Magnoliopsida; Poales; Poaceae
Description: lncRNA OsLima_01g0037630
Source: RNAcentral
AAAGUGGAAGAUGGAAAUUACUUGGGGACAUCUAAAAGCAAAAAAACAGGAACUUCUGAAGUUAGCAAAGAGCAAAAAAUCUCGAAAAUAUCGAAAGGAUCAACAUCAGCUCCAGAAUCAGCAAAGAGGAAGAUAACAACUGUAGCAGCUCUAAUAUAUACAUAUACAUCUCUGUACACAAAUGCAAGAACUUUUGAAGUCAGCAAAGAGCAAAAAAUCUCGAAAAUAUCAAAAGGAUCAACAUCAGCUCCAGAAUCAGCAAAGAGGAAGAUAACAACUGUAGCAGGUCAAGACAAAGCACUGAUUCAGUCAUACAACAAAGAGAUAGUAGACAAACAUAAUACAUCAAAUGAAUCAGAUCUUGUGCAGGGGCAAGUCUCAAUUAUUACUGGAACACCAAAAGCAUUCCAGCCAAGUGAAUUUGAGUAUUCAAUGCAGUCAGCUGUCAAUACAACAAGAGGAGAUAAUAGAUCAGCUGACAUAAUCAUGCAGGGUGAUCAAAAUGGUGAUUCAGAUGAUUCAGAGAAUGAACAAAAUCCAGUAGACCCAUGGUCACUAGAUAUUUUAAGUAUGGCUGCAAAUGACAAGCAGCAGGAUGAUCAUGAGUCUAGAACAAAAAGGCCAACUAGACUAUGGUCUCAUUACUACAUAGAGUUACAAGCAGUCAAACUCUAUAAUGCCAAAAUAUUCAAGAAGUUCCAGGUGCAACUUAAAAAAACAACAAGACUACAACUCAAUGAGAUAGACAAAUUCAAAACCUAUGAAGUUUUCAUAGCUCUGAAUCAGACAAUUGAGGUGUAUAGACGAAGAAAGUACCUUGUUAUGAUAGACUUGGAGAAGGAAGAUUUCAGUUGCAUCUGUGCAAUGUUCCAAAAGGAUGGAUUACUGUGUUCACAUAUCUUGAAAGUUAUGCUCCACAACAACCUCAGCAGUAUACCAGACAAAUAUAUAAUUCAGAGAUGGAGAAAAAAAGAAGAAACAUCAAAACUGAAAUCUGGCAAUCAUAUCAUACCUGUUUCAGAUUGCUCAACUCUCAGGUUCAAUAUCCUCUCAAGAAGAAGUGCUGAAUUUGCUUCAAAAGGUGCCAAAACAACUGAAUCAUAUGAGUUCAUGAUGCAACAAUUUGAUAUGAUUGAUAAAGCUUGGAAAAAUAGGAGUCCAGAAGAGACAAGGCAACAGCAAAGCAGUACAGAAAACCAGAACAAUGCAAAUUCAGCUUCAGAAGUUGAUCAUGUUGAAGUAGAAAAUACAGCAGUUAAUGAACUUCAGAUAUUGGAUCCAGAGAUAGCAAAAUCAAAGGGAAGACCACAACAGCGAUACAAAACUAUUAGGGAACAAAUAGAAGAAAAACAUGUGAAUCACUGCAGUCACUGUGGAAGAACAGAUCACACAUUUCCAACCUGCCCAUUGAAACACAUAGAGUUCAAUUUAGCAAAGAAAAAAAAAAGGAAAACAAAAAACCAAGUGGAACAGGAAAAGAUUCAAGACAACAUGUUGAAGAAAUUAAAAACUCCAAGUAAAAAGAAAACUGAAGAAGCUUUGGACCGGCAGGAAGAAACAAAGCAAAUAAGAAAAGCAAAGUCAAAAUCAAACAUUAGCAGCAAGACUUAG